GGAGCGGUAGCUCAGCUGGAUAGAGCAUUCGCCUUCUAAGCGAAUUGUCGUGAGUUCGAACCUCACUCGCUUCA
RNAcentral lists this transfer RNA (74 nucleotides) under Paucilactobacillus hokkaidonensis JCM 18461. RNAcentral's name for it is "tRNA-Arg (TCT) (tRNA-Arg-TCT-1-1)". It matches the Rfam family "tRNA". From Rfam's summary of the family: Transfer RNA (tRNA) molecules are approximately 80 nucleotides in length. Their secondary structure includes four short double-helical elements and three loops (D, anti-codon, and T loops). Lineage: Bacteria; Bacillati; Bacillota; Bacilli; Lactobacillales; Lactobacillaceae. The record is from RNAcentral.